UCUUCCCUCUCUCUUCAUGCUUAAUACAUGCAAGUCGUGGGGCAGCAGGACUGUAGCAAUCCAGUUGCUUGCGACCGGCACGCGUGUGCGGAACACGUACGCAACUUACCCUGAACUGGGGGAUAUCCCGGGGAAAGCCGGAUUCAUACCCCGUAAUAUUGUGGCGUGGCGUCACUUUAUUAUUGAAGCUCUUGCAGUUCGGUAUGGGCGUACGGCUGCUUAGGUAGUUGGUUGAGGUAACGGCUCACCAAGCCUACGAUCAGUAACUGGUGUGAGAGCACGACCAGUCACACGGGAGCCGAGAUACGGGCGCGAACCCUACGCGAGGCAGGAGUAAGGAACAUUAGGCACUGGAGGCAACUCUGACACCGCCAUGCCGCGUGGAGGAGGCAUGCCCUCUGGGUAGUAAACUUCUAUUAUAGGGGAUGAAACCAGUGUAGUCUUACGAAGUUGACGGUACCCAAGGAAUAAGCACCGGCUAACUCCGUG
This 489-nucleotide ribosomal RNA is filed under the name uncultured bacterium. RNAcentral describes it as "partial 16S ribosomal RNA". It matches the Rfam family "Bacterial small subunit ribosomal RNA", at positions 36 to 507 of the family's 1533-position model. The record is from RNAcentral.